GUGAGUCAUCGAAUCUUUGAACGCACAUUGCGCUUGAGGCUUCGGCCAAGAGCAUGUCUGCCUCAGCGUCGGGUUAAUAUCGCCUUCUUUAACCUUUACGGUUAAAGUUAUGCGGAUCUGGCUGUUCCAGCUAUGCAGUAUGUUUGCCUUUACUGGCAAAUAUGCAUCACGCACCUGGAUCAGCUGAAGACCAGAGGCUAACCAAGGACCCGUCAAGGGCCGCAACUGGGUGGGCUGUCAAAAGCUAUAUUCUUAGUUGUUGGUCUGGGAUUUUGCGUUCGGCCCUCAAACAGGAACCUA
This 300-nucleotide unclassified non-coding RNA is filed under the name uncultured fungus. Its description in RNAcentral is "sequence contains 5.8S rRNA gene, ITS2". The stretch from base 1 to 71 matches the Rfam family "5.8S ribosomal RNA", at positions 84 to 154 of the family's 154-position model. Lineage: Eukaryota; Fungi. The record is from RNAcentral.